AAAAUAGGUCGAGGGCGUUUGAUUGACUAUGUUAGGGAACGGAGCUUCCUCUCUAAUCAAUGAGGAAUGAUGCGCAAGAAACUUGGGAGGA
RNAcentral lists this small RNA (91 nucleotides) under Arabidopsis thaliana (thale cress). RNAcentral describes it as "ATSL208270". Lineage: Eukaryota; Viridiplantae; Streptophyta; Magnoliopsida; Brassicales; Brassicaceae. The record is from RNAcentral.